This 377-nucleotide ribosomal RNA is filed under the name uncultured bacterium. RNAcentral describes it as "bacterial SSU rRNA". It matches the Rfam family "Bacterial small subunit ribosomal RNA", at positions 523 to 898 of the family's 1533-position model. The record is from RNAcentral.
AUACGUAGGGGGCGAGCGUUGUCCGGAAUUACUGGGCGUAAAGGGUGCGUAGGCGGCAUAUCAAGUCAGAUGUGAAAUACCACGGCUCAACUGUGGGGUUGCAUUUGAAACUGGUAUGCUUGAGUGCAGGAGAGGGAAGUGGAAUUUCUAGUGUAGCGGUGAAAUGCGUAGAGAUUAGGAAGAACACCAGUGGCGAAGGCGGCUUCCUGGACUGUAACUGACGCUGAGGCACGAAAGCGUGGGUAGCGAACAGGAUUAGAUACCCUGGUAGUCCACGCCGUAAACGAUGGAUACUAGGUGUAGGGGGUAUCGACCCCCUCUGUGCCGGAGUUAAUACAAUAAGUAAUCCACCUGGGGAGUACGGCCGCAAGGUUGAA